CAACUUACUUUAAACGCUCCACUCGUCCGCCUCGAUCUCCUCCCUGAACGCCUCCAGAAACCUCGAGGAGACGCGAGUAGCGAGUGAUCACACUUCGAUAUCAUAUUUCAUACGCUCGCGUGAUCGUCGCUUCACCGCACACCCCAUCCCAUACCGCUCGCCGCCGUCCGUAGCUAAACGCCCAGGCUAAGAGUCCUAAAGAGCGAACCGACAAAACCGGGAGAGAGACGCCUGCGCCUCGCCUUUCCUCUCGUCUCGUCCUCUCCCCCGCGUGCCCUCCUCCGAGUCGUCGUCGUCGUCGUCGUCGUCCCUCCGUCCGUCCGCCCUCCCUCCUCGUCCUUUACUUACGCCUCGCCCGCGGUCUCCUCGUCCUCGAUCUUCGGCGCGAGGUAGUAGCGCACGUACCCCAUGUCCGCGAUGAGGUACUGCACGACGACGGGAAGCUCCUUGGACAUCUGCAGCUGCACCGUCGGCGCGAGCGGCGUCGCCUUGGUGAACGAGUUGAGGUACCUCAACGCGAACGUGAGCGUCACCGGCUCCUGGAGCUCGAUCACGGUCUGCUCCUCCUUGUCCACGGACGUGUUCUGGCGGCACGUGAUGUUCGCCUGGCCGAUGUCGCCGGUCGUGGAGAACUUCACGCCGUCCUUGGAGUAAACGCGUCAAGCUUUCGCUUUCCCGCCUCUGACCUCCGCGAGCGCUCGCCUCGCGUGCGCCACCUCGGUCGCGACGAACUUCACCCUUCGCUCGAGCGCGUUGAGCUCGAGCUCCAGCGCGGUCGCUUUCCGUUCCCAGUACGCCUCGUCGCCGCCGCCGUUGCCGCGCCACCACAGCACCGAGUCGAACACGUAGUCCGUGAGCCCGGAGAGGUACCCCCAAAAGAUCCGCAUCAAGUGCAGGGUCAUUAUGAACAACCCCAACAGCGAGAAGACGGCGAACGCGGCGAACGGACCGCCGCCGAUGAGCGACCCGGAGCCGUAAAACCACGCGCCGUAAUUCGCCUGUUUCAUCGCGAGCGAGCGUUUCAACCCGCCCUGUUUCAUCGCGAGCGAGCGUUUCAACCCGCGCGCGUUCACCUCUCCGCCGUGAUGAUGAUGAUUCGCGUCGACGCCCAUCACGUCGACGCCGUUGAUGGAGCCUGCCCUGGGCGUCAUCGGCGGCGAGUGCCCGUUGACGCUGCCUUGCGGCGUGAUGUCGCCGCUGUUCUUUCUCCCGCCGCCGUGCCCGAAGAGCAUGCGCCAGAUGACGUCUUUGCUUCCCUCCGGGAUGUUCAGCUUGGACGCGUCCACGACGUGGUCUUCAUCCGGGCUCCCGUUCAGCAUCGCGACGCCGUGCUUAUCGAUGAACGCCUUGACUUUCUCGCGGUUCAAGUGCUCCAUCGUCGCGCGGGCGAGCCCGAGGACAAUCUCCACGGACUUUUUCGACUCGUUCAACGUCGACUGCUCGAUCACCGUCCGCAGCAUCGUCGUCCGGUGAAACGGGACCCUCAGACCGACCCACAGCGUGCAUCGAUCGAUCACCGCGCCGUCCGGUCGAACCUUCGCGGUCGUCGGGGCCACAUCCCACCGCCCCUCGACCCUGAAGUAGUCCCCGUACGGAAUAUCCAGCUGCACUUGCGCGGUGUCGAUGACCAUCACGCCGCCGCGAUACGUCGCGUAAUUUUGCGACUGCCGGCACCGCGUCUGCUUCGGGCCGAUGGACGCGUUGACGGGCGCGAUGAACGUCAGGUCUCUCCCGUACUUCCCCGGGCGUCGCUCGGACGACGCGCUCGCGCUCGCGGUCGCGGUCGCGGGCGGCGUGUCGUCGUCGCGCGCGUCGCCUCGCGCGCAGUCCGUCUCCGCGAUCGACGUGGCGUGCGGCGUCCAACGGGUCGCCGCCACGUCGCGUUCGCCUCUCUUCUCGUGACACGUCGCGUUGAACCCCGCGCGCGCGCUGUCGCUCCAGACCGUCUUGAAGAACUCGUCCACGGUGCAGUCCAGCACCGUCUCCUGCAGCGUCUUCAUGUUCUUCGGGCGGUCCGGGACGUCGUCGUGCGUGAACGUCAAGCCUUCGCCGCAGCCGAGAAUCGUCCCCGACGCGACGUCGUCGUCGUCGUCGUCGUCGUCGUCGUCGUCGUCGUCCGCGUCGGCGUCGGUGCCCCCCUCGCUCGGGGUCGCGCUCUCGCCCUGGCGCUCGUCGUCGCCGUCGUCGUCGCUAUCCGACCGGGGACCCGCGGGCGACUCGCCGCGAUCGACGACGUCGCCGACGUCGAUCCCGAGCGAACUCUUCCGGCUGUUCGAUUUCCUCGGCGGUUUCCGUCUUGAGACGCUCCCCGCGCCGCCGCCGCCGCCGCCGCCGCCGUCCCCGGACGCGUUGCUACUGUUCGGGCCGCUGUGCGCGCCGUCGCUGCCGCUCGCCGAGCGUCUCCCGCUGCUCUUCCGCGAGCGCGCGCUGCUCGGCGACGCGGCGGCGACGGCGUCGAGCAACGGAUUCGCGGCGGCGCCGUCGACGCUCGAUUUCCUCGACGACGCCCUCUCGGAAUUUCGCCGCGAGCGCGACGACGAAAUCGACGACGACGCCUUCUUCGAGCCGCCGAGCUUGCUGCUCCCGAGGCUUCUCCUUCGAUCGCUCCUCGCGUCGUCGUCGCCACCUCCCUCCCUGGGCGUUCCGUCCGACCCGUCCCCGGCGCCGAGCGAGCUCGACCGCGCGAGGUUGAGCAUCGCCGCGAUCUCCGCCGGCGGCGCCGACGAAAACGUCGGCUGGCGGUGAUUCGCCUCCUCCUCCUCCGCGCGCUUAUGCACGUCCACGCCCGCGAAUAUCCGCCCGUACGGACACACCUGGUUCCACGCGCUGCUUAUCUGUUUAUACGCGCUGUCCGGGGUGAGGAACGACGUGAAGAACUCGCACUUACCGUUCCAAACGAUCUCGAUCGCGUUCGGCACGACCUUCACCGUCUUCGCCCUCCGAACGAUGGUGACGUUCUUCAACGGGAUCACCUUGUGCUUCUGAUACCCGAACACGUUGCUGUAGAAGCACACGUAGUUCUCGAACAGAUACAUGCGGCCCUGGAGGAGGAUCUUCUUGUACAGCGCGCAGAGAAACUCGUCCACGACGACCUCGUCCGGGGGCAGGUUGAAGAAGCGCGCCAGGCGCGCGUUUUUGUCCUUUGGCUUCUCGUCGUCCUUGCUCGCCAUCGACCCGCUCCGCCGGCCGACGCUCCCCGGGCCGCUCGACUUCCGCGACGUCGUCGUCGCCGCCGCCGUCGCCGCGGACGUCGACUUGGGCGAGGACGCCUCCGCGUCGUCGUCCGCGGAUAACGCCUCGUCGGAUAACGGCGGCGACGACGCGCCCGUCUCCAUCUUCGCCGCGCCGCUGCCCGGGGGCACGCGCGCGCUGAGCCCCGUCCCGGACGCGCCGCGGUCGAAGUCGUCGCCGUCGUCGCCGUUCAGUGGGAGCGGCACGAGCGUCUCGGACCCGCGCGGGUUCGUCGACGCGUCGUACUCGUUCGGGGGCGAUCCCGCGAACGACAUGCUCGUCGCCUCCGCGAAGGACGAACCGUAUCCGCUGCCGCCGGAGCUGCCGCCGCUGCGGGGACCGUCGUCGCUUUUGGGCGAGGAGGGAUUCGACAUUUUGUCGCGAGCGAUCCGAGACGAGACCCGCGGCCGGCGACGGCGUUCCCUCGGCGUCCUCCGCGAGGAUCGCGCGCGUCCGCGAUGAUCGCGCGCCGCCGGACCGUUCCCGCGCGCGCCCGAGCGUCCCGCCGCCUCGCGAGGGGGGACCCUGCGCGAGGACCGCGCCGCGCGGACCGUGCCGCGGCCGCCCGCGAGAAUGCCCCGAAUCGACCCGCGAAGCGACGAAAAUGCGAUCGAUGACUCUUCUCGCGCGUGACGAGGACGAGGACGACGGGAGGGCGCGCGCGGUCCCCGACCCGGGGUCACUUCUCCGAACGAACGACGCGAACGAUGCUCGCGUCGCAAGCCGGCGGCGCGAGCCUCGCGUCUCGCGUCUCCGCGGCGUCCGCGCGAUGCCGCGCGGAUCGCGCGACGACGACGGCGCCCCGGAAGGCGACGAUCGCGCGCGGUCGACGAAACCGCCGCAAGGAUAAAUCGCGCGCCACCACCACCGUCGACGACGACGACGACGACGCGAGCGCCGAGACCACCGCGGACGCGCUGAGCGACCUCGCGUCGCGCGGCGUGGACGUGGACGCCGCGACCGCGGCGGCGCUGGACGCGAGCGCGCGGGACAUGCUCGCGCGCGCGGGCAUCUCCGCGGACGCGGUCGCCGCGGAGACGCGCGGCGACGCCGUCGCGUCGUCGUCGUCGUCGUCGGCGCCCCUCCCCGCGGUGUCCAGGGACGACGUCCUCGACAGCUGCGUCGGGACGACCGCGUGGAUGCUCGCGAUCGGUCUGAUCGCGCGCGAGGGCACGUACUUCGGGCAGGGCGUGCUCCCGGACGCGGUCCCGGACCUCGCGAGCGCGCUGCCGCUCGUGGCCGCGCUGCAUCCGCCGUUUCCGCCGUCGGACCUCGCGAGGGAUCUGGGGAUCGCGGUUGGCGCGGCGGCGGCGGUGACCGCCGCGCGGGGGGCGCUGCUCCGAGCCUGGCCGGUGCGCGUCGAUCGAUCAAAUCACAACGCGACCGACCGCCGUCAACCGUCGCUCUCCUCCCUGUGUCCCGUCUCCGCCGCGCCGUCCGUUGUUCUCUCUCUGACGUCAGUCGUCUCCUCAUCAUCUUCGCCGUCGCCGCCGCCGCGUCGUCGUCAGGACUUCGCGGAGGCGUCCAACCGCAGCAACGCGCAGGUUCUAACGCCGUUGCGACCGUUCGACGUCGUCACCGUCGCCGUCUUGCCCGCGCUGGCCGAAGAAACGCUCUUCCGCGGUGCGUUACUCCCCGCCAUCGGCGUCUCGCCCGUCGGCGUCGUCGGCGCGGGCGUCGUCUUCGGCGCGUUGCACGCGGGCGGAGGAAGAAACGCGGCGUUCGCCGCGUGGGCGAGCGUCGUCGGGUGCGCGUACGGCGCGUGCGCGGUGGCGACGGGGAACGUCGCCGUCGCGAUGGCGGCGCACGCGAUGGCGAAUUACGCCAGCGCGGCGUUGUGGCUCAAGGAGAACCCCGACGCCGCGAAGGCUUAGAGACGCGCGCGCUCGCGUAGAUGUUGAUGUUGUUAACCGAAAUUAUUAUUGCUGCACCGAAAAACCGCUCGUCGCUCGACGCGAUCGUUCUUCACUCCUCGGGGCGGCGUCGGAGGGGCAUGCGCGGCGCGCGCCUCGGCCUGGACGAGUCCAGUCGCGACGUCCUCCUCGACCUGAUUUAUCGCCUGUCCCUCCGCGAUCGCGACGCGAAGGACGAGAGGAAGGAGCGGAAGCGCUCCGACGCGCGAAAAGACGACGAGGAGAGCGCGCGCGACGACGACGACGCGGAUCUCACCGAGGAGGAGCGCGAGCGUCGCGCGCGCAAGGACAGAGUCAAGGAAGCGCGACGCGCGGAGAAGACGCGGGAGAAGAAAGAGAAGGUGCUCAGAAAGGCGCUGAGGGAGGACCGGAGGAACCCGACGAAGGGCGGCGGCGGCGGCGGCGGCGGAGGAGGAGGGGAUGGCGUCGACGGCGCGGCGAUCGAAGGCCUCGCGUCCGCGCCGUUCGAGGUUGGAUCCACGGUGAACGUCAACGUCACGUCCACGAGCGGCGGCGGCGAGGUCAAAGUCGUGACCGUGAAGCGGGACGUCGACCUGAAGACGUUCUUGACCGCGGCGAAGGCGAAGCUGAAGCUCAAGAAGAAGCCCCUGAGCGCGAGGACGCACCCGGGCGGGGCGGAGAUAUCCAACACGCUGCGCGUGCUGCCGAUGUCCACGGUGGCGGUGAGUAACGACCCGCCGUCGUCCGUUACGAAACCCGGGAAGGACGACGACGAAGGUGAUGGUGAUACAAGAGAAGAAGAUGAUGAAGACGUCGUCGUCGACGACGACGACGACGCGGAAGAGGAAGAGGACGCGACGGCGAGGCUGAGAAGCGCGAUGGCGACGCGCGCGGCGAGAGAACGCGCCAAACGCUCGCGUCUUCGGCUCUCCGCGACGGAAGCGGACGCGGAGUCCGACGCGCUCGCGCGCGCGAUGACGCGCGCGCCGUCGUUCCCGCUGCACGACGCGCGAACGCGUCUCCCCGCGCACGGCGUCCGGGACGAGAUCGUGCGACUGAUGGAUAACGCGUCGGCGGCGGCGAUCAUCACCGGCGAAACCGGCAGCGGAAAGACGACGCAAGCGCCGCAGUACGCGCUCGAGCGCGAGAUCGCGCGCGGCGCCGGCGGUCGCUGCAACAUCAUCGUCGCGCAGCCGCGCCGCGUCGCCGCGGUGUCCAUCGCGUCCAGAGUCGCGGAAGAGCGCGACGAGCGCGUCGGCGACGUCGUCGGCUACGCCGUGCGCGGGGACAGUAAGGCGCGUCCCGUUCGUAUCGCCCCGCGCGCGCGCGUCGUGUUUCUCUCCGCCCACCCCUCGCUCUCAUUCGAUCCCGACGCGCCGCGACGCCUCGCGACGCCAACUGACGCGCCCCCGAUGAACCCCACCCCGAAAUCGAUCGCUCUCAGACGAGCCGGCGCACGAGGCUCACCUUUGUGACCACCGGCGUCUUGCUGCGGCGGUUGGCUUCCGACCCGACGUUGGAGGGCGUCACGCACGUGUUCGUGGACGAGGUGCACGAGCGCACCGCGGACGCGGACUUUCUGCUGAUUCACCUGCGCGAUAUCUUGCGCGCGAACGCGCGUGACGUGGACGCGUCGCAGCGCGACACGUGGCGUCCGCCGUUGCGGGUCGCGCUGAUGAGCGCCACGGCGGAUUGGGAGAAACUCGCCGCGUAUUUCGACGGCGCGUCGAUCGACUCCGCGCCGCCGCCCGGGAGGGUGCACAUCCCGGGCCGGACGUUCCCGGUCGAGGAGCACUUCGCGGAGGAGUUCGUGAAGCGCGGCGGCGGACGACGCGCGGUGACCGGUGGUCCGACAUCGUCGUUCGACAAUGUCAGGUGCGUCCCACACACUGGUCCCCAUACGACCGCGUUGGCGUGGUGAACGCCGAUCCUUAAGGACUUUCGCCGACGCAUCACUCCGCUCAUCCCUCGCUUUCAAUCCUCGCCCUCGACGCCUUUCAACUCCGCUUCUGACGCCUAUGAACUCCACCCCGACGUUCGCUCGUAUAGAGGUCCCCGCGGCGGUCCCCGUCCUCCCCCCGGGGUCGAUUACGACCUCCUCCUCGCCGUCGUGCGCACGAUCUGCACGAUCUGCGCGAAGGGAGAAACGGAGCCGCCGCCGUGCGAGGGCGCGAUCUUGGUCUUCCUCCCCGGCGCCGCGGAGAUCGCGGAGGCGGAGAAAGCGCUGCUUAAACGCCUCGGCGGCGACCACGAAAUGUACGUCGUCCCUCUCCACGGCCAGCUCACGCCGAAAGAGCAGCAGAGAGCGUUCGCGAAGCCUCCCGAUCGCGACGCGCGGAAGAUCGUGCUCGCGACGAACGUCGCGGAGACGUCGCUGACGAUCCCGGACGUCGUCUACGUCGUCGACAGCGGCCGCGUGAAACGUUUGACGCACGAUCCGACGACGCAUCUCGCGGCGUUGACGGAGGGACGCUGCUCGAGAGCGUCCGCGGCGCAGCGACGCGGCCGCGCCGGGCGCGUGAAACCCGGCGUGUGCGUGCGUUUAUACGAUCGCGACGUCGCGUCGAACGAGAUGCCCGAGACGGACCUCCCGGAGAUGCACACGGUGCCGCUGGAGUCGUUGGUGAUGGCGGCGAUGGCGUCGAGGCCGGAGACGUCGCCGGAGGCGUUCCUCGCGAGCGCUCUGGACCCGCCGCCGUCGGCCGCGGUGCGCGCCGCGAUCGCUCGGCUUCGAUCCAUCGGCGCGGUGGUCAACGCGGCGUCGACAGACGACGCGUUGAGCGACAACACUAAUUCUCUAACGCUCACGCCGCUGGGGUUUCAUCUCUCACACCUCCCCGUGGAGCCUCGGCUCGGGAAGAUGCUCGUGUACGCGGUGGCGCUCGGGUGCCUCCCCGCCGUGCUCACGGCGGCGGCGGCGAUGUCGUGUAAGCCGAUGUUUCACGACGCCGCGGAUAAAGCCGCGGCGACGCGGGCGAAGCGCGACGCGUCGGAUAAGAGAGGCGGCGCGUCGGAUCACCUCGCCGCCGCGGAGGGGUUCGACGCGUGGCGCGACGCCGCCGGCGGCGGCGGCGGCGGCGGAGGCGGCGGGAGGGGCGCCGUCUGCCGCGAGAUGAAACUCUCGUACUCGACGAUGCACGAGAUACACCAGGUCCGGAACCAGCUCAAGGAACGGCUCGCGGAGAGCGGUUUCAGACCGGACGCGCCCGCGGCGUCGGCGCACGCGUCGAACGACGAUCUCGUCCGAGCGGUGCUCGUCGCGGGGCUGUUCCCGAACGUAGCGCGCGUCGCCGCCGGCGGCGGCGGCGGCGGCGGCGGGCGCGGUUCCGGCGGGCGCGGCGGUAAACGCCAAGGCAACGGCCCUCGCGUCGUGAACAGUCGCGGCGUAGAAGUCACGAUCCACCCGUCGAGCGUGAACGCGUCCUCCGCGGAGCUCCCCGGGCCGAGGGAGGGGUACUACGCGUACCAGGAGGAGGUGGAGACGUCGAGGGUUUUUCUGCGCGAGACGACGGCGGCGCCGAGCGAAGCCAUCUUGCUCUUCGGCGGCGCGCUGUCCGUGGACCACGCCGCGAGCACGGUGACCGUGAGCGCUGGCGGCGGCGGCGACGGUUCGAAUUCCACCGGUGGGAACAAACCGUUCGUCUUCGCCGCGAAGCCGGAGACGGGGGUGUUGUUCAAGCUGUUGCGAUCGGAGUUGGAUCGACAGCUGGCGGCGGCGGCGGCGGAUCCGGAGGCGCUCGCGACGCGAGGGUUGGGGGGCACGGACGCGGGCGAGCGGUUGAUGGAGGUUCUGUUGAAGCUGUUGCCGGGCACGAGGGCGGGUCGAUGACGGUUCGGGCGCCGUCUUCUUUCGUAGGCGCGUAGUUUAAUAGUCUCUGCUGGUCAAGAGAGCGCGAGAGAGCGGCGCGCUUUUCGGACGCUUUCGGAUGACGAAAAGAUCACGAAUAUCUUGGCCGCAGAUCUAACAACAGAACGAUGCGCGCGCUCGCCCCCUCGCGUCUCGCGGCGGUCGCUCUCCGCGCUUCCGCCCCCCGCCGCGGCGUCCGUCGACUCGCCCGCCCCGUCCGCGCGUCCGCUUCCGCGCGCGAUGGCGACGUCAUCUUCGACGCGUACGAGAUCUUAGACGUCCGCGACGACGCGACCGCGAUCGACAUCAAAGACCGGUAUCGCGACCUGCAAAAGCGCUUCCACCCGGACGUGUCCGGGGACGACCCCGAGGUCCUCGGUCGCAGCGCCGCGAUCAACCGCGCGUACGAACUCUUGAUCGACAAGGAUCGGCGGCGCGACCUCGACGACGCGCUCAUGCGCGCGAACGGGGGGAAACGCCGUGAUCGCGCGACGCACGGCGGCGGGCGCGCGAUCGCGAGCGCCUUCGGCCUCGUCGGCCCCCUCCGCGAGCGGCUCCUCGCGCGCAUGGACGUCUGCGGCGGGUUCGACCCGGACGCGCGCGCGUGCGACCUCAACGUCGUCGCGGAGUUGACGGAGGCGAUCAGGGAGUGGGGGAAGAUGCUCGCGUUCACGUCCGAGAUGCCUCUGCCGCUUCCGCUGCGGUGCGACGACGUCGCGAACGGGCUGCGCGUCGCGUUCGUAACCUUCGCCGACGACGAGCUCCAAGAAGUCGGCGCGCUGUGCAUCACCGUGGAGAAGACUAGUACAAGUAAAAGACCCGCCGGCGAAGAAGAAGGAGAAGAAGAAAGAGGAGAAGGAGACGGCGGCGCGGCGAGCGAUGGCGUCGAGGUGAAGGUGCGAAGGACGUGGUCGGAGAAGGCGUCGGGCGCCGACGGCGGCAGGGGGGGAUUCCGAUUUCGCGGCGGCCCCGGCGACGCGCUCCCCGGCGAGGGACGCGUCCUCGCGUGCUUCGCGGAGGAGUUCAACUUUCUCGUCGUGGACGAUAACUUAUCCGGGGGGAAGAAGAACGCGGGGGGUAAGAGCGCGAACGACGAUCGAGGGUGGUUCGGGAACAUCGUGUCGAGCGUGUCGUCGUUCGCGCUGCCCGUGUUGCCCAUGUUGGGAGGCGGGAAGGUGGCCCCCGGGGGGAGCUACGACGGGUACCGGAUCAACCGAUCGGGGAGCGGCGAGUUCGGGAGCGUCGACGACGACGCGGGCGAUGGACUCUAGAUUGUUGUCGUUAUCAUCGUAGUCGUCGUCGUAUGAUGCCGAGCACGUCGACUCAUCAUUUUCCAUAAAAAAGCCGUCCACGAUCGACGCGAUCGCGACGAUCGAUUUUUCCGAGGCGAGUGGUUUUUUGAACCGUUGUCCGCGGUGACGCGCGCACUCGACGCGACACCGGCGGCAGCGACCGUCCGCCGCGCGCGAGGUUUUCGGCGUCCACGCGCGCGCGACCCCGCGCGCGACCCCGCGCGCGACCGCGAAGGAAACCCCGGCGUGCACGGCCGAGGGCGCGUGCACCGCGAAUCUCGAACGCCCUUCAGGGGUGCCAUCUUUUGAUCGUCGACGCGAACGCUCGUUCGUCCGACGCGAUGUCCUCGCUCGCGAUUCAACGCCUCGCGAUCGAGCGCAAGGCGUGGCGCAAAGACCAUCCGCACGGCUUCGUCGCGAGGCCCGUGAACGCGCGAGACGGCUCCGUGAACAUGCUCAUUUGGGAGUGCAAGAUCCCGGGGAAAGCGGGCACGCUGUGGGAAUCCGGGCUCUUCCCCGUCACGAUGUACUUCACCGAGGACUACCCGUCGAAACCGCCCAAGGUGUCUUUACCGGCCGGGUUCUUCCAUCCGAACGUGUACCCGUCCGGGAAGGUCUGCCUCUCCAUCUUAAACGAAGAGAAAGGCUGGAAGCCGUCCAUCACGGUGAAGCAGAUUCUCACGGGCGUGCAAGAGCUUUUAGACAACCCGAACAACGCCGACGCCGCGCAAGACGUCGCGUACAAGCUGUACAAGAAGUCCAAGGCGGAGUACAGCAAACGCGUGAGGAUCGAGGCGGCGCGGUACACGGAGACCGCGACCGGGGGGGCGGGCGGUGGGGGUGGCGGCACGAACGCGAACGACGCGGUCGUCAUCUUAUGAUAGACGCGCGACACGACGACGACAGCUGGCGAGAAGAGCGCGGCGAAACCAAAACGCGAAACAAAUAGUAGAUAGCACGCGUACUGUACCCCUCCUCGCGUCUUGUAAUAAGACACGCGAAGGACCGAGACGACUCGCCCGCGUUCGACGCGCUUUUUGUGAUGAUCACACGUUGUAUACACAAUGCACGUUUGUUUAUUCGUUCCCUCGUUUACCCUCCCAGCCCCGCCGCGUUCGGUCGGUCCGUCGCUCCGUCGCUCCCUCACACCGCCAGCGGCUGCGCGACGGACGCCGCCGGGGCGACGUUCUCGUCCCCUCCCUCCUCCGUGGCGGCUUCCUUCCCCUGAAUCUUGUUCCCCGCGCCGACGGUGAACGCCCCGGGGUUGAUCGCGACCGUCUUCGUCGUGUUGUUCGUCUUGUAAAUCCCGACGAGACGGUCCGCGAGCUCGAACAUGUUGUUCCGCAACGAGAUGAUCACAAACUGCGCGUUUUUCGUCCGCUCUUUGAUGUAAUGCCCGACGAUGGACACGUUCUUAAAGUCCAGCGCGGCGUCGAUCUCGUCCAUGACGUAAAGCGGCGUGGGCUUGUAGUGAUGCAGCGCGAACACGAGCGCGAGCGAGGACAGCGUCUUCUCGCCGCCGGACAAGUUCGCGAUGUUCUUCCAGCUCUUCUUCGGCGGCCGCACGCUGAAGACGAUGCCCUCGGCGAACGGAUCGAGCGAAUCCACGAGCUCCAGCUCCGCGUCUCCGCCCAACGUGAUCAUCUGAUACAUCUCCUUCAACCGGAGCGAGAUGACGUUAAACCCGGACAUGAACUCGUCCAGACGCUUCUUGCGCAGGUCGUCGUACUCCGCGCGCGUCGCGUCGCGCGCCUCCGUGACCGUCCGAAGAUCGCCCGCGCGUUCUUCGUACUCGCCCUCCUUGUUACGAAACGCCUCGAUCGACGAGAGGUCGGGUUUCAUGACCGCGAGCUCCUCUUCCAAGCGUUUCUCGUCCGCGACGAGCGCGUCUGUGGUCUCGCUCGCGAGCUCUUCGUCGCUCAAGAGCUCGGGCACGGGCAGCGACACCUCCGCGUGGAGCGCCUCCUGCUCCUUCCGCAACUUGGCGAGCUCCUUCGUCCACUGCUUGUUUUUCUCCUCGUUUUGCUUCCCAGCCUCCGCGAGGUCCUCGAUCUUCGCG
RNAcentral lists this long non-coding RNA (12303 nucleotides) under Micromonas pusilla. RNAcentral describes it as "long non-coding RNA (MPUS_LNC000080)". The record is from RNAcentral. Lineage: Eukaryota; Viridiplantae; Chlorophyta; Mamiellophyceae; Mamiellales; Mamiellaceae.